This is a long non-coding RNA of Dermacentor albipictus, 893 nucleotides long. RefSeq lists it as uncharacterized. Lineage: Eukaryota; Metazoa; Arthropoda; Arachnida; Ixodida; Ixodidae. The record is from RefSeq and is a predicted model, not a curated record.
GUGUAAAUAAGAAGGGUACGCAACAGAUGUCGCGUUUAAGAUAUUUUCCUUUCAGUCAAGCGCACUUCUCUCUCGACCAAGCUUCCACGAAACAUCGGUACUUUAAGCAUGCGUACCGCUCAUCUUAUGAUCGUAAUGGCCGUUGCUACACUUGCACCAGCAUGGUCGUACAGCCUUCACCACAGGUAUUUGAAACGGACUGAACUGCGAUGCUACCCGAUUUUAUUCAACUGGUACAAGAUUUGCAAGAUUUUGCAAACAAAGAACCAUUGGCAUAUUGAACACCACUAUGGGGACGACGGCAACGUUGAAGAGGGUUACGGAGAAGAGAGUGAGGAGGCGGGUGAUGACGAAGAUGAAAAUGAAAAAGAGACAACUACUGCCAACCAUGCGUCUUCGAUUACUUCCUCUGGGUCAUCACAGGACGACUCGCAGUCGGCAAACGCUGCUACACAACAGUACUCAACCGAAGUCAGGAGCACAGAAAACAGCCCGACUAAAACGCAAGAAAUGCUAACAUCAGCUUCAGCGUCUACGAAAGAUGGCUCUACAGCUGAGACUGCGACGUCAGCCGCUACGUAUGUACAAUCUACAGGAUUAUCAGUGUCGACAACUAAAAGCUCAGCAGUGACUGUGUAAUUAAUAAGCGAUGGCGGUGAAUGCUGUAUUGAAAUAAAGUUGGGCCGCAAUUGCAACGAUAUGGGGACACACGGAAGCGCUAAAGCAAUCGCCCAUGUGAAUGAAUGCUACUCUAUUUUCUCUUUUCCUUUAUUUUUACUUGUAUCAUGCACUGAGGAAGCCAGCAGGUAGCGACCUGCUGGUACGUGGAAAUGUCUUUUUUUGCAUGCCACAUGCUGGUUGUGGUGAAUAAAUAUGGUUUAUUCUGCUUCUGA